Long non-coding RNA from Halichondria panicea, 934 nucleotides. RefSeq lists it as uncharacterized. The transcript is spliced from 2 exons. The record is from RefSeq and is a predicted model, not a curated record. Lineage: Eukaryota; Metazoa; Porifera; Demospongiae; Suberitida; Halichondriidae.
CUGCACUAGCCUCGAUCCCAGGCCGAGUUUUCGCUUUUAUAACGGUUAGGCGAACAACUGGGCCUGGUACUAGUUGUCUGCGCAUGCGUCAAUCGUUCGUCAGAUUCUGACGAAUGGAUAUUCUCGUUCACUUUCGUGACAUUUAUAUUCGUGUACUAUCGUGUACUAGAAGUCAGUUCCCGUUUUAUCAUUAAUUGGAAUGGCUCUUAGCUGAAGCUUCUCUCUUCUCUGAAGCUUAUUCUGAAGACUGAACAACAAGGGAAGAGGUAUAAAGCUUUGUCAAGCUUGUUAAGGUCAGAUAUUUUUGUGUGGGCCCUAUGGCCGGCUAUGCUAUCAAGUCUUGUUCAUGUUUGGCAAGAAUGUAGGUAGACUAUAAUUUCAUCAUUAAUAUGGUGGAUCAAGUGAAGAGUGUGAGCUAGAGAACUUGGUGCUGCCAUCAUCAGCUCGUCGACAAUGACACUAUAACCGAGAAAUUUAAUAUGUAUAGAUCUACACGUAUUUAAAAUGUCUACUUCUCUGUACAGGAGCAAUGGCUAAUAUCCAGCUAUCCCAACAGUGCUCCUCUUGGCUAUACUAACGGACGAGACUGGACAGUUUGAGACACAGGACUGGAGUAUGACCUGCUCAUUCGAGCGUUGCUGGGUAGCUCAGAGACAUCAAGAGAAUCUACGUUUUCUCAAGCAAUGAGUUACGAGUUGGGGCCUAGAAUCAGAGAAGUCCAGCAGCCUGCUAAAUCUUUUUGAAACGUAAUUUGAAGGCAUUCAAUCAUCCUGAAGUUUCCCUGGGUCACUGUAAUUGUGCUGCAGCACAACUGGCAACUCCCCAGGCCUUUGUGAAGCAGCUCCCUAUGUGCAUCUUUUGUGUACUCACUCUGUGCAUUUUCUGUGUACAAAUUUCUAUUAUUGAUUUAUUAAAUAUUUUUGCCGACCACAAA